ACGGCCAUACCACAUUGAAAACACCGGUUCUCGUCCGAUCACCGAAGUUAAGCAAUGUCGGGCCGGUUAGUACUAUGGGAGGGUGACCACCUGGAACACCGGGUGCUGUAGGCU
RNAcentral lists this ribosomal RNA (114 nucleotides) under Cordylochernes scorpioides. Lineage: Eukaryota; Metazoa; Arthropoda; Arachnida; Pseudoscorpiones; Chernetidae. The record is from RNAcentral.